GAUCAUGGCUCAGGAUGAACGCUGGCGGUGUGCUUAACACAUGCAAGUCGAGCGAAGCACUCAAGUUUGAUUCUUCGGAUGAAGACUUUUGUGACUGAGCGGGCGACGGGUGAGGUAACGCGUGGGUAACCUGCCUCAUACAGGGGGAUAACAGUUAGAAAUGGCUGCUAAUACCGCAUAAGACCACGGUACUGCAUGGUACAGUGGUAAAAACUCCGGUGGUAUGAGAUGGACCCG
Molecule: ribosomal RNA, 237 nt
Filed under: uncultured bacterium
Lineage: Bacteria
Description: partial 16S ribosomal RNA
Rfam family: Bacterial small subunit ribosomal RNA
Source: RNAcentral